RNAcentral lists this ribosomal RNA (497 nucleotides) under uncultured bacterium. Its description in RNAcentral is "partial 16S ribosomal RNA". It matches the Rfam family "Bacterial small subunit ribosomal RNA", at positions 28 to 507 of the family's 1533-position model. The record is from RNAcentral.
GACGAACGCUGGCGGCGUGCCUAAUACAUGCAAGUUGAGCGCUGAAGUGUGGUACUUGUACCAACUGGGUGAGCAGCGAACGGGUGAGUAACGCGUGGGGAAUCUGCCUUUGAGCGGGGGACAACAUUUGGAAACGAAUGCUAAUACCGCAUAAAAACUUUAAACACAAGUUUUAAGUUUGAAAGAUGCAAUUGCAUCACUCAAAGAUUAUCCCGCGUUGUAUUAACUAGUUGGGGAGGUUAAGGCCCAACCAGGCGAUGAUACAUAGCCGACCUGAGAGGGUGAUCGGCCAAAAUGGGACGUGGACACGGCCCAAAAUUCCACGGGGGGCAGCAGUAGGGGAUUCUCGGCAAUUGACGAAAGUCUGACCGAGCAAAGCCGCGUGAGUGAAGAAGGUUUUCGGAUUGUAAAACUCUGUUGGUAGAGAAGAACGUUGGUGGGAGUGGAAAGCGCAUCAAGUGACGGUAACUACUCAGAAAGGGACGGCUAACUACGUG